CAGGCCUAACACAUGCAAGUCGAGGGGYMMYRSGGGUAGCAAUACCUGGCGGCGACCGGCGCAAGGGUGCGUAACGCGUGAGCAAUCUGCCCGUAUCAGGGGGAUAAGCGAUGGAAACGUCGUCUAAUACCGCAUAACACAUUGGAUGGCAUCGUCCGAUGUUGAAAGCUUCGGUGGAUACGGAUGAGCUCGCGAGACAUUAGUUAGUUGGCGGGGUAACGGCCCACCAAGACCGCGAUGUCUAGGGGAACUGAGAGGUUGGUCCCCCACACUGGAACUGAGACACGGUCCAGACUCCUACGGGAGGCAGCAGUGAGGAAUAUUGGACAAUGGCCGGAAGGCUGAUCCAGCCAUGCCGCGUGAAGGAUAAGGUCCUAUGGAUUGUAAACUUCUUUUGAGAGGGAGCAAUAAGGUGUACGCGUACACCGAUGAGAGUACCUUUCGAAUAAGCAUCGGCUAACUCCGUGCCAGCAGCCGCGGUAAUACGGAGGAUGCGAGCGUUAUCCGGAUUUAUUGGGUUUAAAGGGUGCGUAGGCGGUUUAUCAAGUCAGCGUGAAACGCAAGGGCUUAACCCUUGACCUGCCGUUGAAACUGGUGGACUGGAAUGCGGAUGCUGUGGGAGGAAUGUGUGGUGUAGCGGUGAAAUGCAUAGAUAUCACACAGAACACCGAUUGCGAAGGCAUCUCACAAAUCCGUGAUUGACGCUGAGGCACGAAAGUGUGGAGAUCAAACAGGAUUAGAUACCCUGGUAGUCCACACUGUAAACGAUGAUGACUCGCUGUCGGCGAUAUACAGUCGGUGGCCAAGCGAAAGCGAUAAGUCAUCCACCUGGGGAGUACGACCGCAAGGUUGAAACUCAAAGGAAUUGACGGGGGCCCGCACAAGCGGAGGAGCAUGUGGUUUAAUUCGAUGAUACGCGAGGAACCUUACCCGGGCUUGAACGUAAGACGACGACGCAGGAGACUGCGUUUCCUUCGGGCGUUUUGCGAGGUGCUGCAAGGUUGUCGUCAGCUCGUGCCGUGAGGUGUUAGGUUAAGUCCUGCAACGAGCGCAACCCUUACCUUCAGUUGCCAGCACGUAAUGGUGGGGACUCUGGAGGAACUGCCUACGCAAGUAGAGAGGAAGGUGGGGAUGACGUCAAAUCAGCACGGCCCUUAUGUCCGGGGCUACACACGUGCUACAAUGGCGCACACAGAGGGCAGCGACCCCGCGAGGGGGAGCCAAUCCAUUAAAGUGCGUCUCAGUCCGGAUCGGAGUCUGGAACCCGACUCCGUGAAGUUGGAUUCGCUAGUAAUCGCGCAUCAGCCAUGACGCGGUGAAUACGUUCCCGG
This 1331-nucleotide ribosomal RNA is filed under the name uncultured rumen bacterium. RNAcentral's name for it is "bacterial SSU rRNA". It matches the Rfam family "Bacterial small subunit ribosomal RNA", at positions 43 to 1377 of the family's 1533-position model. The record is from RNAcentral.